This is a long non-coding RNA of Myotis lucifugus (little brown bat), 382 nucleotides long. RefSeq lists it as uncharacterized. Lineage: Eukaryota; Metazoa; Chordata; Mammalia; Chiroptera; Vespertilionidae. The record is from RefSeq and is a predicted model, not a curated record. The transcript is spliced from 3 exons.
AGAGAAUAAAGUCAUGGGAUCGCAUGGAUGAGGGAGAGGGAGGAGUCCAGUUGCUGCCCGCAUCUGUCCCCAGGAAUCAGGCCCCUGCUGGGCUCUGUGGCAUGGAGGUACUGGCCUACAGAGGGAGACGGACGGAGGGUCCGGGGAGCCAUAGCUGACAUCUAGAAGGAUGGGUCACUCCACCGAGGAGGUGGGGACACUGUGGUAAAGAAGUGGCUAUGGAGGUUGCCAAGACCGUUCAAUGGGGAGAGAAGAGCCUUUCAACAAAUGGUGCUGGGACAACUGGAUACACACCUGCAAAAGAAUGAAGUCGGACCCCUACUUCACACCAUAUACAAAAAUUAACUUUAAAUAGAUUGAAGACCUAAAUGUAAGAACUAAA